Molecule: ribosomal RNA, 339 nt
Filed under: uncultured Caulobacter sp.
Lineage: Bacteria; Pseudomonadati; Pseudomonadota; Alphaproteobacteria; Caulobacterales; Caulobacteraceae
Description: bacterial SSU rRNA
Rfam family: Bacterial small subunit ribosomal RNA
Source: RNAcentral
CAUGACACAAAUUGACCGCAUGGUCGAUUUGUCAAAUAUUCAUAGGAUAUGGAUGGGCUCGCGUGACAUUAGCUAGUUGGUGGGGUAACGGCCCACCAAGGCGACGAUGUCUAGGGGGCUCUGAGAGGAGAAUCCCCCACACUGGUACUGAGACACGGACCAGACUCCUACGGGAGGCAGCAGUAAGGAAUAUUGGUCAAUGGGGGCAACCCUGAACCAGCCAUGCCGCGUGCAGGAUGACUGCCCUAUGGGUUGUAAACUGCUUUUGUUAGGGAAUAAACCCCACUACGUGUAGUGGGCUGAAUGUACCUAAAGAAUAAGGAUCGGCUAACUCCGUGC